This 208-nucleotide long non-coding RNA is filed under the name Glycine max (soybean). Its description in RNAcentral is "long non-coding RNA (GMAX_LNC000492)". The record is from RNAcentral. Lineage: Eukaryota; Viridiplantae; Streptophyta; Magnoliopsida; Fabales; Fabaceae.
UGGUUCUGGCUAUACAUAAGACAGCGUAAUAUGGAUAGUGGUUUUAGUUGGGCUAUAUAAAGAACUCAGACUGAGAACAACAACUGCUAUUCGAAAAGAGAAAACUGGACCUAUACAUUGCUAAAAAAAUUAAGGAGAGAAACUAAUAAAAUUAAAGAGAGAAACUCAUCUAGAGAUGGGUAAUGAAACCUAAUAUUGAAUUGCAUAU